CCCUUAGAUGUUCUGGGCCGCACGCGCGCUACACUGAUGAAUGCAACGAGCUCUACCCUUGACCGAAAGGCCCGGGUAAACUUGUGAAACUUCAUCGUGAUGGGGAUAGAUUAUUGCAAUUAUUAAUCUUCAACGAGGAAUUCCUAGUAAGCGCGAGUCAUCAGCUCGCGUUGAUUACGUCCCUGCCCUUUGUACACACCGCCCGUCGCUCCUACCGAUUGAAUGGUCCGGUGAAAUCUUCGGAUUGCUGACCAAGAUCCAGCAAUGGAGCUUGGUUGCGAGAAGUUGAUUAAACCUUAUUACUUAGAGGAAGGAGAAGUCGUAACA
Molecule: ribosomal RNA, 327 nt
Filed under: uncultured eukaryote
Lineage: Eukaryota
Description: partial 18S ribosomal RNA
Rfam family: Eukaryotic small subunit ribosomal RNA
Source: RNAcentral